UGGUGCAGUACGGGCGAGCAGGAGCUUCCCUGCCCUUUCCAAAGGACCCAGUGAAAUACUGCACCUCUCCUGCAGGAGGGGCAGCCUGCCCCCUCAGCCCAGCCUUCCCCAGGUGCCACCCCCAACCCUGCCUGACACCUCAGAGCAGCAGCUUGGUGACAUGAAAGGACCUCCGUGGCUGGCCUUACUCCCUGUGGAUGCCACAGCUGCAGGAUCCUGGGGCCCCAACAGAAGCCGGUGAAGGAAGAGUUCCUGCUCCAGCAGAACAAAACUGCCCUUUGCCCAGAAAUCCUGCAAACUGAGGCUGGACGACUUGAAAUACUCAUCAGCGAGAUUACCACGAAGCCCAGGUGCGAGGGACCCUCACGCCUGUUGCUGCGUGGGCCGCCCAGACAUCGCCAGAGACCAAACCGCAGAAGAUGCUCGGAGCCCAACAUCUACAAACCUGCCCCGCCACGGCCCCCAGGCUCAGAAACUGGUUUUUAGUCAGCUCCAAUGAUUAGCUUUUUUUUUUUUUCUUUUGUUUCCAUAGAAAUGCCUCUUCAAAGCAUUAUGGGACAACACACCCACCCAGUUUCUGUACCGUGGAGCUUCUUGGGGAAGUUUCAGACUAGGAAACAAUGGGGCUCAGGACACAUCACCCCAAAGUAUGACUGUAGGAGACCAGAAUACGCCACCCCUAAAUAUGACUAUAGGAGACCAGAAUACGUCACCCCAAAAUAUGACUGUAGGAGACCAGAAUACGCCACCCCAAAAUAUGACUGUAGGAGACCAGAAUACGCCACCCCAAAAUAUGACUGUAGGAGACCAGAAUACGCCACCCCUAAAUAUGACUGUAGGAGACUAGAAUACGUCACCCCAAAAUAUGACUGUAGGAGACCAGAAUACGUCACCCCAAAAUAUGACUGUAGGAGACCAGAAUACGUCACCCCAAAAUAUGCCAUGUUGACAUGUUGAUUACUUUGAGCUAAAAGCAACUGAGAACCAGCCAACAGAAAAAAAGCUCUUCAGCUCCCUAAAAUAAAGUAAAAAACUCUCUUUUCUAAAGAAAA
This 1052-nucleotide long non-coding RNA is filed under the name Homo sapiens (human). RNAcentral's name for it is "TP73 antisense RNA 3, transcript variant 3 (TP73-AS3)". The record is from RNAcentral. Lineage: Eukaryota; Metazoa; Chordata; Mammalia; Primates; Hominidae.